GAGUUUGAUCCUGGCUCAGAACGAACGCUGGCGGCGUGCUUAACACAUGCAAGUCGAACGUGAUCCGGAGCUUGCUCCGGUGAAAGUGGCGCACGGGUGAGUAACGCGUGGAUAAUCUGCCCUGGUAUCUGGGAUAACAUCUCGAAAGGGGUGCUAAUACCGGAUAAGCCCACGAUGGCCUUGGUCGUUGCGGGAAAAGGGGGGGACCUUCGGGCCUUCUGUCAUCAGAUGAGUCUGCGUACCAUCAGCUAGUUGGUGGGGUAACGGCCCACCAAGGCGACGAUCGGUAGCUGGUCUGAGAGGAUGAUCAGCCACACUGGUACUGAGACACGGACCAGACUCCUACGGGAGGCAGCAGUGGGGAAUAUUGCGCAAUGGGCGAAAGCCUGACGCAGCAACGCCGCGUGGGUGAUGAAGGCCUUCGGGUCGUAAAACCCUGUUAGGUGGGAAGAAACCGGCUCAGCCGCUGACGGUACCACCAGAGGAAGCACCGGCUAACUCCGUGCCAGCAGCCGCGGUAAUAC
RNAcentral lists this ribosomal RNA (524 nucleotides) under uncultured Geobacteraceae bacterium. RNAcentral's name for it is "bacterial SSU rRNA". It matches the Rfam family "Bacterial small subunit ribosomal RNA", at positions 9 to 526 of the family's 1533-position model. The record is from RNAcentral. Lineage: Bacteria; Pseudomonadati; Thermodesulfobacteriota; Desulfuromonadia; Geobacterales; Geobacteraceae.